This 531-nucleotide long non-coding RNA is filed under the name Olea europaea (common olive). RNAcentral's name for it is "long non-coding RNA (OEUR_LNC004443)". Lineage: Eukaryota; Viridiplantae; Streptophyta; Magnoliopsida; Lamiales; Oleaceae. The record is from RNAcentral.
UAAACUAAAUUACUUGUCUUGAAUUAGAAAUAAAUAGACAAUAGGGUUCGUCCCAUCCAAUCCAUUAAACAAAUUAGCCUAACAUAAUGUUGGAAUUAAACGCAUAAAAAUAGAAUGACAUCAUCGAGAAAUAGACGAAACGUAAUUGAUUCAAUAGAAUGACAUCAUCGAGAAAUAGACGAAACGUAAUUAAUUCCAAUAGUUCGGGUCUUCCUCGUGUUUGCCAUCUUCGUAUCUCUUGAUUUCUGCCUUUGUAAUUUCCCUUUUUAAUUCCCCGGCAGUAGGUAGCUCGUGUAUCUUCGGCUCUCUCAUGUGAAUGUAAAUCCAACCAAAAACAGCCGCAAUUUCGUGUUUGAAUCUGUAUCAAUUCUGCCUUCCUGUGGGUAAUUAUAUAAUCUUCAGCAAUAUGCAACCCUAUUAAUUCCCUCACGUGUAUAUAUAUUUAAUUCUGCAGUGGGCAAAAUUUUCCCCAGUUGGCAUGUAUAAUUCUCCUUCCGGCUGCCGUUCCCAAUUAAUGUGUAACUAUCCUUC